UACGUAGGGGGCUAGCGUUGUCCGGAAUCAUUGGGCGUAAAGCGCGUGUAGGCGGUCCGGUAAGUCCGCUGUGAAAGUCGAGGGCUCAACCCUCGAAUGCCGGUGGAUACUGUCGGGCUUGAGUACGGGAGAGGCGAGUGGAAUUCCUGGUGUAGCGGUGAAAUGCGCAGAUAUCAGGAGGAACACCGAUGGCGAAGGCAGGUCUCUGGGCCAUAACUGACGCUGAGAAGCGAAAGCAUGGGGAGCGAACAGG
RNAcentral lists this ribosomal RNA (253 nucleotides) under uncultured bacterium. Its description in RNAcentral is "partial 16S ribosomal RNA". It matches the Rfam family "Bacterial small subunit ribosomal RNA", at positions 524 to 776 of the family's 1533-position model. The record is from RNAcentral.